GAUGAACGCUAGCUACAGGCUUAACACAUGCAAGUCGAGGGGAAACGACAUCGAAAGCUUGCUUUUGAUGGGCGUCGACCGGCGCACGGGUGAGUAACGCGUAUCCAACCUGCCCACCACUUGGGGAUAACCUUGCGAAAGUAAGACUAAUACCCAAUGAUAUCUCUAGAAGACAUCUGAAAGAGAUUAAAGAUUUAUCGGUGAAGGAUGGGGAUGCGUCUGAUUAGCUUGUUGGCGGGGUAACGGCCCACCAAGGCGACGAUCAGUAGGGGUUCUGAGAGGAAGGUCCCCCACAUUGGAACUGAGACACGGUCCAAACUCCUACGGGAGGCAGCAGUGAGGAAUAUUGGUCAAUGGACGAGAGUCUGAACCAGCCAAGUAGCGUGCAGGAUGACGGCCCUAUGGGUUGUAAACUGCUUUUAUAAGGGAAUAAAGUGAGUCUCGUGAGACUUUUUGCAUGUACCUUAUGAAUAAGGACCGGCUAAUUCCGUGCCAGCAGCAGCCGCGG
This 508-nucleotide ribosomal RNA is filed under the name uncultured bacterium. RNAcentral describes it as "partial 16S ribosomal RNA". It matches the Rfam family "Bacterial small subunit ribosomal RNA", at positions 28 to 523 of the family's 1533-position model. The record is from RNAcentral.